Molecule: RNA transcript, 9698 nt
Organism: Dunckerocampus dactyliophorus (ringed pipefish)
Lineage: Eukaryota; Metazoa; Chordata; Actinopteri; Syngnathiformes; Syngnathidae
Gene: misp3
Gene name: MISP family member 3
Exons: 4
Source: RefSeq, a predicted model, not a curated record
GUGCAUAUUCUUCAUUGCGGCUAAUGGAUUAGACAGUGAUUGCUGGUCAGCAUUGUGUGCAGAUGUGCUUGUGCGUGAGAGUGGAGCUGUAUUGUUAGAGUGCUACAUGUGUCAUUUAGAGAGUGUGAGAAGUCCCGACUGCUUGGCUUGAGAUCAAAGAUUCUCACUGCUCUUUUAAAAAAGGAGAGAUCCGUCACCAUGGCAACAGUGUCCCUGCAAAAAGAAGAGGGUCCAACCAACUCGCUUGAAGUGCAAGAGAGCCAGAUGCAAGGUGACGCAAGCCUCAGUUCUUCUGUGCUGGACCCAAAAGCUCCCAAAGCAGAACCAGAAAACGACACUGAUGACGUGUUCCAAGACCAAAUGGAUGAAAUGCUGACAGAACUAGUACAAGAUUCCCAGCAUUCCCAGGUUGAUAACAAAACUGUUGAGACUCUAACAGAUCAAAAUGCUUUCCAGCCACCUCGUCCUCUCUCCCUUGAUGCCUCACUAAGAGAGACAUGCCUGGAGAAAGAGGUGAUGGAAUGGACCAGUGAUGGGAUUACCUCAAAUGAAUACUUUACAUCUCCUGAAUGUCGCCCAAACGUUCAAGAAUCCUCAACUUUUGAGGAAUGUUCUCCACUAGCAGACUCUUCUCUAAGCAGUUUCAACACAGGUCCACCUACAAAUACCCCGAGAGAGGUUGUCCAACAAGAAACAUCUCUUUUUGCUGAUGAAAUAGAAGAGAAGACAAACAGGGUCAUUUCCUUGUGUACUAGAGCAGUGAUCAGUUGCAAAUCCUUGCCAAGUUUCAACUCUGUAGACCCAACCGUGGACGUAGUUCCCUCAGAAAACCAGCAAGGGGAGCUACUGCCCCAAGGCCUACAAAGACUUACCCCCAAGGGCACAAACCAGGAAGCUGCUCAACAGGUGCUUGGCCAGAACUCUGCACCUUUGUCAGCGGUUGCCAUGGAGCUGUCCAAUCAGCGCGGGGCUGCUUGUAAAGGCUGUGUUGUCACUGUUAGAGAAAAGAAGGCAGGCAGGGUGGGGGAAAGGACAGAGGGAGAAAGCGAAACAGGAGAACAGAAAGACGGCGGACUUGAAAGGAACAAGGUAGUUGCACGAGAGCAAGGUCUCAUUCAAACACAGGAAGAAAAUCUAAAAGGACACAUCAGAAUGGAGAGCGAUUCAAGCGAUGAUAGCCAGAGUGACAGUGGACUAUCUGCAGACUUCUCACCACGCAGCACUUUGAACAUCUCUGCAGGCUCCCAAGCGCCUCUACCUAAAGAAACCCCCAUUGAUAGGGAGAUCAGACGUGCAAUUGAACGUGAACAAAGUCUGAGAAGGUCCAGGGGGAUACCAAAUACAUCCGGAGAGUAUGUUGAGAUUCCGGUAAGGAAAACUCUUGGCGACCCGAUUGUUUCUGCCAACUCGGACAAAUACCAAGGCUUAGACAGGCACCUGGCGAGCAAAAAGGUGCAGCAAGAGAUCAGCGAGGAACUUCGCCGAGAACAAGAUCUGGUCAAGCUGGGGAAGGUUCCCGGUUUCUACGAUAAAGGCACUGUUCGGCAGCUUAAAGAGAAGAAGCAGAUUUUUGAAGCCUUUCAAAACCACAGUGAGCCACCUUUGAGCGUGUCAUGCAGGAGUAAGGCGUCAUCCUGGUCCUCCAGCAGUGACAGCUCUACUGUGGAGAGCCACGAUGACAGCUCAUCACAGGCAUCCACUGUAAGAAGCUCAGAGAGGAGACAAAGUAUAGAAGAUCAAAAGAGAGAUGCUUAUGCUUCUUCAACAGCAAGAGGACCAGGCUUAUCUGAGGGCAGGUCCUGUCAGGUCAUCAUUGUGGAGAACAACUUGAGUGUCUCGGGACAGAAUCUCCACCAUGGCAAUUUGGAGGAAGAGAGCCUGGUCCGUGGUGAUUCAGAAGCUUCUUAUGUCUUCCCAUCCAGUUCAGCAGGUCACAUUUUGGAGGAGGAAGAGAUGACGUCCAAGAAGAACCCCUUCUUCAAGCUGCGCACCCCUACAAAUGUCAUUAAAGUGGAGCAGGAUAUCCGGGAGGCUCAAGAGAGGGAAAAGGAGCUCCGCAAGCAGAGGGUCCACUUGUAUGGGGAUGAGGGGGGAACAAUGGGAGGAGGAGGUGGUGUGAGAAGAAGCCUCCAAGUGUCUGUUCCAGAUUCUUCUGGCUCACCAUCCAAGGGAGGAAGUGGAGCCACAGCGGGCCGCCCCUCUGUUGGAAAGCUCAGCGUGUGGCCCCCAGGCGAGGAUCAAAGAGAGACAAUAAACAAGCCAAAGGUAAACAAAGUUUCUUCUCCAUUUAACACUUUUGCUUCUGUCCUUCAGUUGCUGAGAUAUUACAUUCUGUAACACCUAAUAUACCAAACAACAGAUCUUCCGUCAGACACAGUCGCUUUAGAGAAUAAUAAUGUCAAGGAGAUAUCUAGUUCCAUUAGAAUAAAGCCAUCUGCUCCAGCAAAACAAGGGGGGAUUCCACUGAGUCUCAAUGCAUAUGAGUAGUUUUUCAAAGCAGGCAGGCUGGUGAGAGGAUGCAAGCAUCUCUUUUGCACCAAAUGUGGGCCACAAACAUCUGAUAAGGCUCAGAACACACAGCAAGCAGCUUGUCUUCAUAGAUAAGGAGGGAGAGGGGAGUGUGUGCGUGUGUUUUAUCUGCUCGUGUGUGUACUCUUGUCUUUCUAUCUUAUAGCUUGACAUCCCACCUUUAUCAUCAUUGUGUGUGUGUGCGUGUGUGUGUGUUGCACUCAUUAAGAGAAAGACAGGGAAGUCAAUUGCACUAAUUUCCAUUACGUGCUCUGUUUCUUUUCCUGCUCACUUUCUUGCUCUCGCUGGCUGUUUGCUUAUCUGUUAGACCAAAUUGCUGAUUAAACUUUAAGAAUAAACAACACGAUUUCAGGUCUCAGUUGUUGAAUUAGUCUUGCUAAAUCACACCCCAGGCGGCCCGAGAAAACUCAUCCAAAGAAACUAACAGUCAGGUCUUGAAACAACUCGAAAUUUGACCUAAAUGUAAUAGGAUACAAAAAUUCAGUACAAAAGUCAAAGUAUGGUUCUGUAGCACCAAUUCACAAUAGACGUUAUCUCAAGACGCUUUAUAUAUGGAGACCAUCCUAGACCCACGCCCCUCAUACAUUUAAAAAAAAAAAAAACCCAGAGCGAGCACUUUGGCAGCGGAGGUGAGGAAAACGCUAAAAAAAUACAGGUAGUUCUCGACUAUUUGGGUUGAGAUAGAGAAAUAAAAGCAAAGGCUGACAUACAUAAUAGCGACACCCCUAGUAAAAAACAAAGAAAUUAAUUAUUAAUGAGUUAUAUUGGUAAAUAUUACAUUCAUUGUGUCACCUAUGACAAAGUUCGCACCAUCUAUCUCCCACAUUGCACAGAUAAGACUACUUUACUGUAUUUUUCCCAUUGUUCUUUCUCUUAUUCGGUCCCAAAUGCUGAGACUAUGUGGGACUGCAUAAAGACCUCCCACAGCUCCAGACAGAAGACGCCUCUCGUCCACCUGUGGGAGUCAGGCCUGGUCAACGGGCACAACCUGGAAGAUCAAUAAUGAAGAGACACUGAAAGUAAAAAAAAUUAAAAACAACAUUUUUAAAGUGAGCAGGAGUGUGAGGGAGAAAGAGGCCAAGGAUUGAGGUAAGAAGAAUCCUUCAGGAAGAUGGCCUAUUUCUGGUACUGGUUGAAGAACACCACAACCUCAAAGCCUUGUGAGGAAAAAAAAAUAGUAUAAUUAUCAUUGAUUUUUGAAUGAAUCUAAAUAUCAUUCACCAUAGCUAUAAAAAACAAAAACAAUCUGCCACCAGCAGUUAUGUUUUUAUGACGUGUUCUUCUCACUGAGUUGAUUACAAUCAAGUCCAAAGUUUUACUGUUGAUAUCAUAAUACAUUUGACAUACUGCAUAGGGUAUUUUGGAUUUUACUGAUUACUGAGUUCCAAUAGAGACUUGUAUCAAAAAAGACAAACUACCUAGUUUUGACUGACACUGUCAUAGAGGUAUUAAUGUAAUAAUAUGUACUCCCUCAUACCAACACCUGUUCCUAAUAUUUUGAAAGGGUUUUUUUUUCUGGAUAUAGCUCUCCUUGUACCUAAUGUGGCCGGUGCGUCAGGUCCCAUUGAUAACAUCAUCAGAUGUAAUUCAUUGCUGUAUUCGUGUAUGUGCUCAAAAAGUUGGCAUUUUCCUAAUGAGUUUCUGAAUCACUCAGUGAGUUCCCAGACUGAACAAACCAGAUUUAAUCCCAUAGGCUACUUGGCGUGCCGCAUUUGGAUUAUGGUGCAAUGAAGUUGAUCUGGAUUUUGGAGGUGAAUCAUGACAGUCCAGAGUGCACAUGCUUGAAUAAAAGCGGCUGUGUUUUAUGACUCCUCUUCUGGUCCUGAGUCAUGCAGUAAAAUGUUGCACUUUGGAAUGAAACUGGAGGGCCAGACAUGACAUUUUUAUAUUCUGUGUAGUGCAUAAUCUUCAUGAUGAAGAUUCCUUUUGCAUAGAUAUGCUCGAUAUUGGCUCACUUACCAAUAUCCGAUGUUGUCCGGCACUUCAUUUCAGAUUCUGAUAUUGGCAGAAGAUCUUCCCUCAACUAAUGUCAGGUCACAUCUUGUGUAAUGAAUGAACACAUUAUGCAUCUUUUACUGUAAUGCCACUGGAUGCAUUUGACAAAACACUGCAAAAUCAGACAAAUACUGCAACAUACAAUGUAAGUUCUAGAAAAAGUACCAUAUUUAUUUUCAAAUCAUGACCAAUACUGAACUGAAAUAACAUGUCUUCAUGCUAUUAACAAGUAAGACAGGUUUGACUUAAUAAAUUCCCACAUAAGAACCGAAUUAAAUAAUACAAUUGGGAAAGCUGCACAUUUCUAUGUGGCACAAACAUCCACAUAAAAACAAGUUAACGUGCAAAGUGUGAAACUCUGGACUAUCUAAUACAAACUGGGCUCAUUCAGCACAUCGUCUGUUGCUUUUUUUUUUGCUGCGGGUAUACUUGCUGCAUGUGACUCUGAAUGAUUCUUGCUAAGGUGUGAUAUUAGAUUAAAAGCAUUGAAGGACGACACCUUAUUCCCCCUUGCAGCGCUUUACAAACAUUGCAAAUUGCAUAUUUACAAUCUGAAGGGGAACGUGGGUAAUAAUCCCAGACCUCGGACACACUGAGCUAGCAAGCUUGUUGCUGUGUGGAGCAACACACACAGUCAUCGCUCGCAGGCCGAUAUCAUUAUCGCAUACCGAUAUGAAUCACUAUCUAAUUUUUCUGCCUAUAUCGGCCAGCGAUAUCAUCGGACAUCCCUGAUUGUGCAUGCUUCUAAUGCUUUGGAAACAUUGGCUUCAUACCAUAUUAAGAUGUCUUAAAUAAUUGUUGUUAAAUAAUUGAUAUAAAAAUGUGUUAUUAAUUGCUUUUCUGUUUUAAGGAACUACUGCAAAAACACUUGCCAAAGAUCUUCUAUAUGACAGCAGCAAGCUGCUGUUUUUAGUAAACUAUGAUAAAAAUGAUAAUCAAAGAUCCUCUGUAUGACAGGAGCACUCAGCUGCUUUGAGGAAUCUACUGCAAAAGUGUCAGUCAAAGAUCCUCUAUAUGCGAGUGGUUUUCAGCUGUUUGGAGGAAUUUGCUGCAAAUGCCGUUCUGAUGUCAUUUAAGGCAGUGAUCUCAAACUUUUUUGAGUCCAAAGGCCGUUUGGGAACAAUGAACAGGAAAAAUAAAAGUCUGUUGCCAGCACUGGAGAAAAUUUGACUUUCACUUUUUCUCGGAACACACAAGUAAGGUGCAUUGAAGGCCCGCUGGGAAUAAAUGCUCAACAAAAAAAUGAAACAACAUAAACAUGCAAAAACUAGGGGCUUUCUAGCAGUAUAGUAUUUUUCCAAUGAAAUAAUCAUCCUAUUUCCAAAAUUCAUAUUCAUUUACAUAAUAUUCAAUGUAGUUACUUACAAAACGUUUUUUUAAAUGUGUCUUUUUUUUAUCUUAAAGUUUUCCACAGCUCAGUUCAGCAUCUGGGAACCACUGCCAUUUAAGAUGUCAUUUAAUGGCCAGAUUUAGGCCGUGGGUCACUAGUUGGAUAGAGCUGUAAUACAGUCCACCCUCGUUUAUAGCAGUUAAUUUCCAGACCCGACCACGAGAAAUGAAUUUCCAGGAUUCAGUGUUAAUAAAUUGAAUGUUUUUGUAGUUAAACAAUACAAAAAUUGCUGAAGACUUUUUAAAUACAUUUUUUAAGUACUAGAGCACUGUAGACGUGAAAUAACACGCCUAUAGUCACCUUUACACUCCCAUUAUUCAUUGUUUACAUCACAUUGCACAACGCUCAUGCUCCAGGGACUGGAGAUGGCCGCUAGCUAUGUAGCCUCAAAGUUAGCCUCAAAUUUAUUUAUUCUAAAUUUUAAAAGCCAAAAACUUACCACUUCCACAUGGAAGGGGAGGAUAACCCUUUUCACUCUAUCAUGUCAGACAGGCAAUGGCUGACUUUGGGACUUCAUGCAGUUUUAAGGUAAUGUCUCAUCAAUGUUUUGUGUCAUUACUGCCACCUAGUGACCAGAAUACUACAUAUCACUUGUAUGUCAGUAUGUUUUGACAAAUUAUAAACCAUAGUCUACCACAACACAGCUAUCAUUUGUUAAUUAAUUAACUUCUGAAAAACAUGAUAUAGCGAGGGAGCAAUAAUUGCGAUCAUAUUUCGAGGGACAACUGUAGUGUAUAGACCAGGGAUGGGAAAACUUUUUGACUCCGGGGCCAUAUUGGGUUAAAAGAUUUCGCCGGAGGGCCGGGCUAUACAUAGAAUUAUAAUUGUAACUAUAAUUGUAAGAAUCCACUUGGAAUUAUAUGUAUUCUUUUAGCUGUAUAAGUGUUGCUGCAUGUGAAUAAGCAUAAACACAACAAAACGAUGACAACACGGAAAAACACAAAAACAAAUGGUAAAAAAACAAAAAAAUAAAAUAUCACUUUCCUGCAGAACUGUGACGUAGAAAUCUUGCUUUACUGUCUCCCUCUGUCACACGAGCUCCAGCUGCUCUGUACACACAGCCCCACCUCCUCUGCUUUCUAUCAAAGCCUCGUCUCCCUGGAGCUGCUGUGACGUAGUCCCAAUGAUUACGUAUGACACUAAUAGCGCGGCGUCGGAGUCGGUUCAGAAACCACUGGAAUCAUUUCGAGAGUUCAAGACUUACGUUAAUUCAAGUAAAUAAGAUCAAGUAAAAAAUAUGGACUUACUGACUGAAACUGACAGGUGGACUGCAAGAUAGGCGAGAAAGACGAGCGACACCAAGCCAUGUUUUGCAAGCAGUUCAGGUCUAGAACACUUGGGGGACACCGUCUACCAGGCACAAACAAGCACAGCCAUGAACGCAUGCAAAGAAAGUGACAUACACAACAAUAAUAGCAUUCACUAAUAUUGCAUUGCGAGAAGUAUGGUAUGUUUUACUGGCAGUGAUAGAUACGACAGAUACCACAUAGCCGCCUAGCUAGAGCGCCAGUUAAGUGGGCCUUACAUCCCAACGUACGUGUUACCACGCAUACGGGCUUCACAAUUUUUGGGAAAUUUGUUGGCCUUGGUCAGCACAUAGAGGAAGUAGGGUAUCAGAGUGGUUGCAAGUGUGUCGUACACCCACAUGCUAGCCGCUUGCACUCCGUUGGUAGCUUUUAGAUAGUGAGUGCGGCGUGCGACUUGUGCGUUCUAGGUGCGCUUCAUGUAAGCCUGUCGGACGUUUCACUUACUGGGGACGUACUGUACGUGUGUGUGCAUCAUACGAGGCUCUUGCAGCCCACUCGCUUCGAUUGCAAGAUGGGCUUACUGGCUUCCUACGGCAACUACGGCUAUCGUGACCGGGAGAACCAGAGUGUACAGCAGGAAGAGCCGCGGGUAAGGUGUAUUAAUGUUGGAUACGCUAUGUGAGCAGCCGCCGUGUGUCCAUGGAGGUCAGGAGAACUAAAGUGUAGGCCGCUUUAGGAAUUAGCUCUGCAUUAGCCACCAACACGAGGCUGGCUACUACUAGCAUGGUAGCAGAAGAAAUGUGAAUUGACUUCCUGCCACCUUGGCACGCUUUUCCACAGUCAGACAUCUUAUUCGUUUUUGAUUUUUCAUUUCCAUCUACUGGGAAUAUGGAAACAUUUGUCCCACAAAGUUUGCCGUUCAUCUGACGAGGCGAAUUGUGUCUUUCAGAAAGGUGAACAAGCUUACUCCGUCUCCUCGAGUGUUUCAGCAAAUGCCUUCAACACAACUAGCGCGCAUACUAUAAAAACAUACAGUAUAUAAGAAACAACCGAAAUUGCCAGAGAACUGGAGCAUAUUAACUGGGAAUGGAUUGUAAUGAAGGAGAAUUUAUGACCAUCUGGCUUAGACUUCACUUGCUCCUCCUCCUCCGGACCCGGAAGAAGUGAUGACAAUUUUUGGUAAAUAAAAUGGUAAAUAUUUCUAUAAUCCACCGCUCAUCUAACACAAUGUUAUUUUUCAUGGAGGAAAUAACAUGUUUUGGUGUCAUGAGCACUUUUAAUGUAUGUCAGCUAUAAAAGUUUUGAAGAUAACACAAACUGUGGCAGAUGCUAUCUGAACAACCAUACUAUAAUAAUUGUGUUGUCCUCAUUUGGGUGUCAGGAUGUGUUUACAGAGAAAUAUGUCAUAGAUAUGCUUUAGUGGCCUCCUGUAAAUUAUUAAUCCCCUUGUGGUCCCAUUGGCUCAGUGGUUAUUUGGAAUAGAGUGUUGUCCUAAAAUAUAUUUUCGAUGAAAUCAUGUCUCCUUAGUAUUAAACCAUGCUAGAAUAUUUCACUUUAGGCAUGUGUCUGUAUUAUCAAGACAUAUCGGAAUGGAUUCCAGGGAUUGAUUUUCUUACAUGUUGGUAUCAUAAUGUGUGGGCGUGUGUUGAAGCGAAAAACGAAUAUAAUGGCAGAACUGUGUCGUGUCAUAGAGAUAAAAAUGUGUGGAUACAAAGUAGGACUCAGAUUCAGAUACUCCAGUUACUAAGGACAGAGCCCUCAGAUGUGUUGAAUAAAAUGGAUAGAGUCAUUAUAAGGGACCUUUUAUUCACCUCGCUGCUAUUAUGAAAUGUCAACCCUCCUUUUCGCCAUGCACCACUGACAUAAUCAAACCUGCUAAAUGCAUAAUGCAAAUGUUGUCCGAUUCAAUUAAAUAUGAGCACAAAUGGGCGGGAAAGACAUUUAGGGUGUUGACGACACGUCAACAAAUACCACAGUCCUCUAUCAAGUUCAUAAUAUACCACGCACGUUGUCCUUGGAAGGGCGAUGAAUAUGACGAAUAUCACCACUGAUUCGCACAGUACAGUUAAGAUUACAAGUUAAGGUGGGGCCACUGAGUUCAUCAAGGUGAUUUAGGCCUCUAAGUAUUAUUCUGCAAACAGACCAGCCUCAUAUUGUAGACACACAGCAAACAUUGCAAGAUUACAGUAUCAGUCACCUCCUUAUGAAUACCUGUCUGUCUUAUUAUGUCGUAGAUACGACAUUACGAUAUUUUGCCAACAUGUCAAUUGAUUUGUGCGAUAAUCACGUUGUGGAAAUGUGGGUAUGACGGAGUAUCGUGCAAUACAAUAUUAUAUUUUGUCUAUGAUAUCCAUGCCUAUGAUAUCACAAUACAGCAUUUAUACAAUAACGGCUGGUAAUAGUGGUGGGAAUCACAGAGUAACUCAUGAUACCAUGUUAUCACAAUAGUUUGAUCCUGAUAUUGAUAGUAUCUAAAACUGUGUUACACUCCAGGUGUCAUGCUCUUAUUUUGGUUGCUUGGUACUUGCUGUCUGUUU